UACAGAGGGUGCAAGCGUUGUUCGGAAUUACUGGGCGUAAAGAGCGCGUAGGCGGUCCAUUAAGUGUGAAGCUAAAUCUCUUGGCUUAACCAAGAAACUAUUUCGCAUACUGAUGGGCUGGAGUGAUGCAGAGGUGGAUAGAAUUCCCGGUGUAGCGGUGAAAUGCGUUGAUAUCGGGAGGAAUACCCGUGGCGAAGGCGGUCCACUGGGCAUCAACUGACGCUGAGGCGCGAAAGCGUGGGGAGCAAACAGG
This 253-nucleotide ribosomal RNA is filed under the name uncultured prokaryote. Its description in RNAcentral is "partial 16S ribosomal RNA". It matches the Rfam family "Bacterial small subunit ribosomal RNA", at positions 524 to 776 of the family's 1533-position model. The record is from RNAcentral.